GGUGGACGUCUGGAGAAACUGGCGCGGAAGGCCAGUGACCAGCAGAAGCACAGUGAUGCAGAGUUUUGCUGGGGCAGUUGGAAAUGAGCCCAGGACGCUGAGUGGCCUGACUCCAGGGGAAAACCUUCCCACUCCAAGUUGAGCUGGUUAACACAAGCCGCCUAUAUAGACUGCAAAACUAAAAGAACACCCUCUAACACACGUCCACUGGGGCUUCCGGAGCUGUAAGCGUUCACCUCUAGACACUGCCUGGGUUCGGAGCCCCACAGCCUGCCCGUCUCAUAUGCUCCCUUAGAGACUCUCCACCAUGGAAUCCACCACCUUCUGCACCCACAGCUGCUGUGUGACGACCCUUCACUGCCUGCCCGAAGAGUUGAUUUUUGACUGUCAUGGAGCGCCUGAUGCGUGGAUGCACCACGGUUUGUUUAUCUGCUCAUCUGUUGUGAGUAUCUGGGCUGUCUCCACCUUUCACCUAUUCUGAAUGAGGCUUCUAUGAAUAUUGAGGUACAAGGCUUUGUCAAGACAUGCAGUUCCUUUUCUCUUGGUGAAUACUUAAGAGUGGGAUGGCUGGACCAUACGUUAGGUGACUGUUUACUUUUAAAGAAACUGCCAUACAGUUUUCCAAAAUAGUUUUUACAUUUUUACACUCUUUUACAUUCCUAUCAGCAGGGUGUGAGUUUCAGUUUCUGCACAUUGUGGCCAACACUGGGUAUGAUCAUUCUGUGUAAUUUUAUUACCACUCCAAUAGGUAGGAAUGGUAUCUCAUUGUUUUAAUUUGAAUUGUCUCAAUUACUAUGAUGUUGAGUAUCUUUUCAUGUGCCUGUCAUCUGUGUAGCUUCUUUGCUCACAGAUGUAAUUUUUUCCUGCAUCUAUUGAAAUGAUCGUAUAGUUUUCUUUUUCAGUUUGUUAAUGUGGUUAAUUAAACUGGUUGAUAUUUGAAUAUUAAGCCACAUAUGAGAAAAAACAUAUUUAGUAGUGAUGUAUUAUUCUUUGAAUGUAUUGCUGGAUUCAGUUUGCUAAAAUUUUAAUUAGAAUAUUUGUGUCUAAGUUCAUGGGGGAUAUGGACGUGUAGUUUUCCUUUCUUUUCUUGUAAUGUCCUUGUCUGGUUUUGGUAUGAAAGUAAUGCGGGCUCUAUAGAAUGCAAUGGAAGUGCCACCUUCCCUCUGGCUCUGGCACAGAGCAGGUGCCUGUUUCAUGGGUGAUUUGAAGUAGGGAACAAUAAAUUCAUGU
This 1230-nucleotide long non-coding RNA is filed under the name Homo sapiens (human). RNAcentral's name for it is "HSALNT0099061". Lineage: Eukaryota; Metazoa; Chordata; Mammalia; Primates; Hominidae. The record is from RNAcentral.